Molecule: ribosomal RNA, 411 nt
Filed under: uncultured bacterium
Lineage: Bacteria
Description: bacterial SSU rRNA
Rfam family: Bacterial small subunit ribosomal RNA
Source: RNAcentral
GAACGCGAAGAACCUUACCAACCCUUGACAUCGCCUGACCGGCCUGGAGACAGGUCUUCCCCGCAAGGGGCAGGUGGACAGGUGCUGCAUGGCUGUCGUCAGCUCGUGUCGUGAGAUGUUCGGUUAAGUCCGGCAACGAGCGCAACCCACACCCUUAGUUGCCAUCAUUCGGUUGGGCACUCCAAGGGAACUGCCGGUGAUAAGCCGGAGGAAGGUGUGGAUGACGUCAAGUCCUCAUGGCCCUUACGGGUUGGGCUACACACGUGCUACAAUGGUGGUGACAGUGGGUUAAUCCCCAAAAGCCAUCUCAGUUCGGAUUGUCGUCUGCAACUCGACGGCAUGAAGUCGGAAUCGCUAGUAAUCGCGCAACAGCUCGGCGCGGUGAAUACGUUCCCGGGCCUUGUACACACC